RNAcentral lists this long non-coding RNA (1077 nucleotides) under Musa acuminata (dwarf banana). RNAcentral describes it as "long non-coding RNA (MACU_LNC005546)". The stretch from base 193 to 404 matches the Rfam family "Plant small nucleolar RNA U3". The record is from RNAcentral. Lineage: Eukaryota; Viridiplantae; Streptophyta; Magnoliopsida; Zingiberales; Musaceae.
AGGAAUAAAUCUGGAAGAUUGUAAGUUCAUUUACUGAAUAAACACAUCAUGUAUUUUUCUGGAAUAAAUUUGGGAGUAGUGUUUGCUUUCCCCGUUCAUGUAUUUUUCUUAAGAUAGAGGCUAUUUAGUCCCACAUCCUAAAUCCUAUUCUCGCAUGGAGUAUAUAUUAGAAGCCUUGCUUAAGGCAUAGGCACGACCUUACUUGAACAGGAUCUGUUCUAUAGGCUCGUGCAUCUGUCUUCAAGAGUUCAAAGAAGACAGGCAAUCAAGUCUGGCGGAUGACUCCAUGGCCUUAGAAUUAGAGCGUGAUUAAAGGGUGAAAACUUCUUGAGUUCAAACCUCCAGAGGAUCGUUCUCAGUUGGCUGUGGCCACCUGGAGUGAUUCUAAGGUUGUCUGACAGACUAUAUACAUCAUUUUUUUUAUGCACACAAUGUCAAGGAUUAUUCUCAAUUGGUUGUGCCCAACUAUGGGUGAUUUUAAGGAUGUCUGACAAACUACACAUCGAAGUGACAAGUAUGAAGUAAAAAAAUAUUAGAAUUAUGAUGCAAAACAAUAUUAAAGAAAUUGAUAUUACCAAUGAAAAUUUAGUAUUCUGGAUAGUGGAAGAAAAUAGUUGGUAAUUUUUUGCUUUGUAUUUCAAUUAAAUUAGCCUCUUGCGCAUCUGUCUUAUCCAUAUAUAUUUGAUCUAGAUUCAUCUGGUCGUCAAUAGCAGCUGCAACAACAAAAUGACCGAUGCUGAAGCUGCGAGACUUAGUUAAUUAGGGUCAUUAUUGUUGUGGAAAGCCAGCGGUGAAGCAUAGAUGUAAGUAAAGUUGGCUCGCUAGAAUGCCAAUUUAGAGGCUAUUUAGUCCCAUAUCCUAAUUGCUUAUCUUGCAUGAAGCAUAUAUUAGAGGCUUGGCAUACGCAUAAAGCAUGAUCUUAUUUGAAUAGGAUUUGUUCUCUAGUCUCGUACAAUUAUCUUUCUGAGUUCAGAGUAGAUAAGCAAUGAAGUUUUUAAGGAUGACAGAUUACCUUAGAAUUAGAGUGUGAUUAAUGGGAAAAGACUUUUGGCUGUGGCCACCUAGGGUGAUUCUAAG